This is a non-coding RNA of Salmo salar (Atlantic salmon), 1950 nucleotides long. Lineage: Eukaryota; Metazoa; Chordata; Actinopteri; Salmoniformes; Salmonidae. The record is from RefSeq and is a predicted model, not a curated record.
UGCUGUAACAUAACUAAAUGCGGAAAUAUUCAGGGGUUUGAACACUUUCUGAAGGCACUGUACCUGCUGAAUGAAUUUUAUUUCGAUUGUUCAGAUUCACAAUCAGCAAUCAUUUUGGUUUUGCUUUAAACAAUCAGUGUAUAUGGUCCUUUUUAGACACACAGGGUAAAGUUUAUAAUUUCACAACAAGGACAGCAGUCACUUUUGCGAGAAGCACUGCAUGGCCAAAGCAAGAGGAGAUUGGGGUGAAGUUGGUUUUGAGAUUGGGGUGAAAUCCAAAGUUGCGUUUAUACAUUCAUUGGCUAUGUCAUAGCUAAUUUAUAAAUGCUAAAUACUGAUACAUUUCUGGCUCAAACACUUCAUCUGCAAAAAUGACAAGUUAAUUAGUGGGUGAUGGUUAGGCUUGGGCGAUAUAUACCGUUUAUACCGUAUACCGAGGUAUUUCGAAAUACAGACGGCAGGAUUAACUAUAAAUAAAGUAUAACUAUAAGAAAACGAAGAUGUGUCAAAUAAAUGAUAUCCAGCUCAGGGCUCCAGCUAUGCAUUUGGUUUGCUAACACACACACGCGCGCACACACACACACACACACACACACACACCUCAGACAGAUCCAGCUCAGAGACGCCCAGCUCAGGAGCUCCACCAGCAGCAGGUUUUAAUUUAGAACGGAAAAUGAAUGAGUUUAUGAGCAUCGAAUCGUAUCGCAGCAGUUGAGCCGAGAUAACUGAGACGCUGAUCACAUUUGUUCGAUUCAUUAUAAAACGAUGUUGCGGGAUAACAGUAGUCCUUGAGUUCUUAUCUGACAUCAUCAUCACUUCAAUCUGGCCAUCUCUAACGAAUGCCUCAAGAUGUACCAAUCACAUGAGCUCACUACAAACUCUUGAGCUUUGAAACGCCACUUAAGGCUACAUAUUGCAAGACAGAAGGGCGCUGUUUCAGUCGAUUGGAUGCAAUUUUGGACUAAGAUGUGAAGUCGGGCCUGCUCCCCCUCUUCUCCCAAUAGUUGAAGAGGCCGUGCCCAGUUGAAAAUCACCCCGAUAUUUGCCUCGAAAGUGAACCGGAACUAUACCAAAACUAAUAUCACACAUAUAAUAAGAGAUUAAAAUAAAUGAAGUAGCCUCAAGUAUGAUGGGGAAGAAUGGAUGAGUUGAUGAACGAGUGGAAGCGAACGAUGCAUAAUUACGUGUUCACCAAUUUUGAAUGAAGAACAGGGCGGGCCAUUCUAAUGUAUUGAUCUAUUCUUAGAAUCUCAAAAUGUUAUGUCCUCUAUCAUUCUACUCCGGCCUCCUUGGAGUACACAAGAGAGCGUAUGUAAUUUACAACGGCAAGAAGACCAAGACUAAUGCAUGCACGAGUUAGCAUUGCUACAACAUCUGAAGGAAAACAACUCCGAUGGUGGGGAAGAAAAAAAAUCAUUAUGACAUCUCUGAUGAGAAUUCUUCUGAUUCUGAACCUCAACCUGAACCUGAGGGCUAAACGCAAAAAAAAUGUGCAGAAUUGUGCGCACUGAGCAGGUGCCCACGCCACCACCAAAUGAAACGGUGCGACUGGAGAGAGGACGGCACCGUUUGGAAUAGAACACGCCGGUGAGAAUUCUACUGGCUACUAUCAGCACAUCAUGUCGUCACUGCGGGAGUAGGCCCUACACAUCAAGCAAGAAAUAAAAUCAUCAAUGCACUCAACAGCUUUUGUUGUUUAGGCUAUGUGAAAUGGACAUUCUCCAAGUGAUAAUGGACUUUUUGACUGCUGUCUUAUCUACACUUAUAUUCAUAAUGGCAUUAUUGCUUUUGUGACGAUUUUUACUAUUAUCUAGCAGACUUGGCGCUUGUAAUGAUGUUUAGGCUACUGAUGUUUUCAUCUUUUCACCAUGCAUCUUGCUGACCGUGCAUUUUGGUGGUUGGGGUAUUCAUUUUUAUUUCGUUUAAUAAGAAUCUUAUACCGGGUUCCAA